RNAcentral lists this ribosomal RNA (468 nucleotides) under uncultured bacterium. RNAcentral describes it as "partial 16S ribosomal RNA". It matches the Rfam family "Bacterial small subunit ribosomal RNA", at positions 28 to 507 of the family's 1533-position model. The record is from RNAcentral.
GACGAACGCUGGCGGCGUGCUUAACACAUGCAAGUCGAACGGAAAGGCCCUGCUUUUGUGGGGUGCUCGAGUGGCGAACGGGUGAGUAACACGUGAGUAACCUGCCCUGGACUUUGGGAUAACUUCAGGCAACUGGGGCUAAUACCGGAUAGGAGCUCCUGCUGCAUGGGGGGGGUUGGAAAGUUUCGGCGGGUGGGGAUGGACUCGCGGCUUAUUAGCUUGUUGGUGGGGGAGUGGCUUACCAAGGCUUUGACGGGUAGCCGGCAUGAGAGGGUGACCGGCGACAUUGGGACUGAGAUACGGCCCAGACUCCUACGGGAGGCAGCAGUGGGGAAUAUGGUCCAACGGGCGGAAGCCUGAUGCAGAAACGCCGCGUGCGGGAUGACGGCCUUCGGGUUGUAAACCGCUUUCGCCUGUGACGAAGCGUGAGUGACGGUAAUGGGUAAAGAAGCACCGGCUAACUACGUG